GGUUGUGGCUCAGGGGUAGAGCGCUCACCUCCCAUUUGUGAGACCCUGGGUUCGAUCCUCAGCACCA
This 67-nucleotide transfer RNA is filed under the name Marmota monax (woodchuck). RNAcentral's name for it is "tRNA.Gly". It matches the Rfam family "tRNA". From Rfam's summary of the family: Transfer RNA (tRNA) molecules are approximately 80 nucleotides in length. Their secondary structure includes four short double-helical elements and three loops (D, anti-codon, and T loops). The record is from RNAcentral. Lineage: Eukaryota; Metazoa; Chordata; Mammalia; Rodentia; Sciuridae.